Molecule: unclassified non-coding RNA, 276 nt
Filed under: Hevea brasiliensis (rubber tree)
Lineage: Eukaryota; Viridiplantae; Streptophyta; Magnoliopsida; Malpighiales; Euphorbiaceae
Source: RNAcentral
UCUUGGAAAUGCCUCUGCAAUUGCACUCUGCAAAACUUUACACCUGUCCGUAAUAAUUGUUUGUGGAGCACACCCUGAUAGACAUGUAAGCCAUGUUUUGAACAACCAAAUAUAAGACUCCGUUGUCUCGCCCGCACAACCCAGUAAAACAGACUGGCCAUGGUGAUUUAUUCCAACAAGUGCCACAAGUGGGAUCUCAUAUUUGCUUGACAAAUAUGUGUUGUCAAUAUAAAUGACAUCACUGAAGUAGCCACAUGCAGCCCUUGAUCUAGCAUC